Molecule: non-coding RNA, 73 nt
Organism: Picea glauca (white spruce)
Lineage: Eukaryota; Viridiplantae; Streptophyta; Pinopsida; Pinales; Pinaceae
Source: Rfam
UCUGUUGUAGUUUAGUUGGUCAGGAUACUCGUCUCUCACCCAAGAGACCCAGGUUCAAGUCCCGACAACAAAA